Long non-coding RNA from Fundulus heteroclitus (mummichog), 3750 nucleotides. RefSeq lists it as uncharacterized. Lineage: Eukaryota; Metazoa; Chordata; Actinopteri; Cyprinodontiformes; Fundulidae. The record is from RefSeq and is a predicted model, not a curated record. The transcript is spliced from 2 exons.
ACAUCCACUCCGGCCUGCUGUCACUGCCCCCUCCCUCACUCCCGGCUCAUGCAUCUCAUUUCAUCAGCUGAUGCUGUCCUCUGCCGUCUUUUGCUCUUUCUCUCUCAAUCGGGCCAGCUGUCCAUCAACUGUCCUUCACUGCGGGCUCUUUUUUUUUUCUGCCUGUUCUCCAACACUUUUCCCCGUUGUUUCCCCCGCAUCUUCCUCUCUAGAUCCGGGGAGCGAUAUGAAGCGGCACCAUGGGUUUUAUGGAAUUCUACCUGGAGAUUGACCCCGUCACCCUUAACCUCAUCAUCCUGGUGGCCAGCUACGUCAUCCUUCUCCUGGUGUUCCUUAUCUCCUGCAUCCUGUACGACUGCCGCGGCAAAGACCCCACCAAGGAGUACGCCCCCGACAACACGCCGGCGCCACAGAGCCAGUCGCCCAUACGCCUUGUAGUCAUGCAGAAUUCGCCGACCUCGGGCCGCUGUGAGGCCAACAGCACGUCGGGACACGUGGAGACGCCGACGCCGGACCUGAGCCGGGACAGAGCAGAGAGAGAGAGGGAGAAGAGGAGUACUCUGGUCUGAGAGAUGAAGAGGGGAGUGCUGAGGGAGGAGACGACCAUUAAGUGCAGUUGUAUCGCUUCGUACUGCGUUUUUAUUCUUGAAGAGUUAGUUUUUGAUUUUCAAAGUUCCUGGAAGUUGCUGCUGACCGGCCUAGGAGUUCACAGAUGGGUCUUCACGUCUCCUUCAAAUCCCAGAAUUCCCUUGCCAGUAGAUGCCAGCAAAGGAAACCCACUUCCAUCUGGGAUCCAUCCUCCAACCACAUCACCAAGACUUCUGGCUGCUCCAGCACCAGGCACCCCAGACUUCAGCUUGCUUUCAUGAGGACCGCCAGAGAUCUGAAAUGGCAACAAUGUCACCAUCAUUAUUGUUUUCCUCAUCAUAGUUCCUGUCAGGUGUCAUUCUGAAUCAGGAUGUGCUCCAGCUGGAACUGCUGAAUGGUGUCCUGAAGUGAGUCUGACUGUAGAUGACUUUGGCAUGACUGCAUCAGCCAGUGACAGACAGGCUGGCAUCAUGAACAUCUGCUAACAGGUGAUAGACAGGCAUCAUACUAGUGCAGCUUUACGUUGAGGACAUGAUGGCGUGUUAAGACCUUGGCCAUAUGAGCUGAAGAUUCCAGGGAUCUGAAUAAAAACAAUCAAACCAAAUGGUGAAUCUUUCAGAAAACUUCAUACCAAGAAGGUGCAGCUACUGUGAUGUAAAUAUCACAGGUUUUGCUUUGCUUCUGUGGACACAAACGGCUGCAGACUUGAACAUGCAUUGUCAAAUAUUUUAACAGAACAUAUCAACACAUUGACAUGGUAGAAUGAAUAUAAAACACAAAUAAGUCCUCUAAUGAGAAUUUAAAUGCAGAGAAAAAUGUUGCUGAGUUUGCGGUUGGCCCUCGGUCUUGAAGUUGUGUAAAAAAUAACUCUAGCUUUAGAAAGGGGUUUAGGAACAACUCUUACGAGUAGGAUUCUCAAAUUAGUUAGUUUCACUUAUAAAGUACAUCAAAGCAACAUAUGUGCAACCAGGCUUUUACUAUAGUAUACAUGGCCAUAAAACACUUUUAGUUUGGUGGAACUUCCAGUUCUGUCAAGACCUAAGAUAUCAAUGAGUGUCAGCUCUAACACUGGACUUUUACUGUGAGCUAAAAAAAGUGUACAAAUACCAGCUGGUUUGUGUUUACAUUGGUGACCCAAAGCCGUACAGCUACUGGGACAUAAAGUACAUUAAUAAUAUUAAUAAUGCCAUUAUUAGGAAGACCAGUUUCUCCCCCAAUGUCUUUAGAUGGAUGCUGCUGCUUUGACAAAAGUUGUUAAAGGUCAACAAAACAUAUAAGGAAGUCACUUCAAGGAGCAUCCGUCCUUCAGUUGAAUACGUCUGCGCAAUGCAUUCACAUGAGAGACACCUUUGAGGACCCGUGUGGUCCCUUUCUAGAACCCCGAUGCAGUAGUGCUUCUGGAAUGAUCCAAAACAAGCUACGUUAAAGUCACAUUUACAGAUCAUAAACCCCCAGACAGAGGAGGGGUGUUUUUACAGUAUCUCUGAUAGGAGCCACAGGGCUGGGGACAUACACAAACCUUCAGCAGUGACUUUGUGGAGGUUUAAUAUUAUACUGGAUCCUGAGGGGUACUUAAUGCCAGCAGGUGGUUUGGGGAAACAGCAUUGCUUGGUUGCUAGGAAUUUGAAGCAACGAUGACCGUAUUAGUCCUAUGCAUUAGCUACAACCUAAUCACAUCCUCAUGGCACUGGCAGUGCUCCGAGUUAUUGCUAUGAUCUAGUGCUACAUGCAUCAUUUCCUGCAACUGCUCACACUUCAGCUGAGCCCCGUCCUCACCAAACAGCAAUAGCUGCAAGCAACAGUUUACAGUCUCCAGGCACCAACAAACACCACACGUUGUGGAAUGCAUAGCAUUAUUUUCCCAAGCAACGACGAGUUGAUGGAAAGACCCAGCUCAGACAUGGUGCCCUAGCAUAUGUCAUGGGAGGGAGCAUCACUUACUGCACCCAGAUGCAGUGUCAGAGAGCUGUGACAGUUGUGAUAAUUGAAGGGAUCAAUUAGGUGGAGAAGAGAGUUUCGCAAUAAAGCAGGUGGGACCUACGUAUAUCUGGGUAUCACUCAGAGUCUAGAAUUAUCAUGACUGGCUUUUUAUGUACCAGUCCUGCAGGAUAGGUGGAGAAGAUUGUUGGGGUUGCGGGGGGCUAUUGAACCCUAGAUGUGCUUUGAGACAACCACAAGUCAGGAAAAGCACCAUAUAAAAACUCUCAAGGUCUUUUAUUAUGUUGCAUCUUAUCAACUUCAACUUGAUCCACCUACAUUUUCUGCCACUGUUCUGAUCAGAGAGCCCGGUCCCGCCUCCCUCUCCCUCUGAUGAAUGAUCCAACCUAAAGUCUUUAGAGAACUCGUGCCACAGACGCUGAUACUGGGACAAAUCCUCUUACAUAAAAAAAACACAGAGCCAACGAGCAAGCCACCAAUGACUGAGUCCCAUCAAUAACAUGAACUGCACAAACACACACACACACACACUUCAUAUUUCAUGUUUGGGGAUUAUACAGCGACCAGCACAGAGUAUUAGGAGCUUGGGCUGUGUAUUUGUGUUCCCUCUUUGCUGUGCUUUUGUGUGUGUGCGUGUGUGUGUGUGCGUGUCUGUGUGUGUGUGUGUGUGUGUUUACAUAAGCUUCAGGUUGUCAGAGAUGUUGUUUUCAGACCUGAACUAGAGAACGGCGUCAUAUCUACAGACUCUUGAGAGUCAACUGAAUGAUGCUGGAAAUUCAUCUUUCAGUUGGAAACCCGCUCUGUGGAGGGAUCGGCCCCACUGCCGCAAGCUGCUGCAGAUUAAGCCAGGAUAGAAGACAUUGAGGAGAAAGACGUUGGAAAACAGAUAAAGGACAAACAACUAUGUUUAGGUGACAGACCAGGUCCUGAAAACACAAAUCUUCUUUUCAUCUCUAAAAAAAAAAGUUUACAGAUUUCUGUCAAUUUGUGAAAGAAGAUAUAGUUUUAUGAGGCCCACCUGUAAAGGGGGUUUGACCUCAAUGUCUAAAAGACUCAUUCUUCUUCAGGUUUCUCCUGCUUUAUUGUCUUUUGAGUCCCUUUUUGAAGCGCAUUUGGACAAAAAAAAACAACAUGCUUCUGUUGAUCUGAGUUGAAAUGACACAGCUCAACAGCACAGUGUAAAGACUCUGGGCAACUAAUAUCUAAGUUAAAUGUAAAACAAAC